AUAUUCGAAGGUACGAUCAAUUUCUUAUUUAUCAAAUGAUUUACAGCUUGUUUGUGUAAGUGACCCAAGCGACAAUGCCAUAAACCAGUAGUUGCUUUUUCAACUGCUAAAGUAUCUGGAUUUCUUCUAAUAUCCACCGACAGUUGAUACAGUCCAUUCUUUUGCCUUCCCCUCAUCAGCAGCCUCCUAGUGGUUGCAUCCAGCACCUUUACAUUCUGAUCAUCAAAUUCAAGCACAACUUUGUUAUGAAGACAAAAUUGAUGCACGCGGAUAGUAGAUUUUUUGUUGCAGUAGGUACAAGCAGAAUAUCUUCUAAUGAAAUUUUUUUUCACCUCUACCAGUGUGUGAGAUCGUUAUUUGUUCACCAUUAAUUAGCUGCUGAGACAGAUGAAUAUCCAGAAUAUAUUUUAGAUUUUUGUAAUAAUUCUGAAUUACCUGUAAUGUGUGUAGAUGCACCAGUGUCGGGAUACCAGAUCAGGUGAUGACUCUCUUCUUUAACAGUUGUCAUAUUUGCCUCCACAACUCCUGAAAUUCCUAUUACCACCAUUUUUCGGUUAUGAUUUGGAGGAAAUCGACGAGCGUUAAACCUGCUGUAACAGUUGAUUGCCACGUGACCUUUGCGCCCACAGAUUUGGCACGAUCCUUUGCUGUGGGCACUGUUGUAAUUACUACCUGUAGAUGAGGUUGUAGACAAACCUCUUCUUGUACCUGUGGUGGCUAUAUAUAUAUGUUAGCAGCGAUUGGUGAAUCCUUCAGGUCCUUUUCCAUCCUCAUUUCUUGGUCCAGCAACAUAGCUUGUAGAUCCAUGAAUGGUAGAAUAUGAUUAAAGUUGGCAGUAUGGCAGUAAGAAACUGGGAAUAUUUUGGUUUGAGUCCUCCAAGGAUUAUGAGAACUAUCUGUGACUGAUCUACAAUCUCUCCCACUGCUACAAGAUUGUCAAGGAUCUUGCGAACAUGAUCGAGCGAUGUAUGCCUCUAUUAUCAUCGUUCCUUGUUUCACUUCUAGAAAUUGUUGGCGGAGAUAUAGUAUUUGGGUGGCAGAUUUGAGUGAGAACAAGUUGGACAGUGUCGUCCAAACUUCUGCCGAAGUUUCUGGACUUGCGACUUGUGGAAGAAUUGUUGAUGAAAUUAAGUGUAGCAAGUAACCAAUCUAAAAUAAUUUGAUCCUGUCUUGCAUGGAUCGAUGAGGUGGAGAGAUCAAAUCAUCCUAUUGUAGAGUUGUAGAGAAAGAGAGGGAAAAAAAUAUUUGGUCUCACUUGGAUUGUGAGAUCGCCGGCGAAGCUUUACAUCGUUGUAGUUAGAUAUCUGCGGUGUACGUACGGAAGUCGUCGUAGAAGGGGGAAAAAAACUAAACUCUGUGACUCACAGAUUACAAAUCAUGUUCAUGAAAAGAAAAUUAAUGUGAUUGCAGUAAUGUGAUUCUGGAACUGCGACUGGAACUUGAUUCUGUAACGUGAUGCGGAAGAUUAAUGUGCAGAUCAAUU
Molecule: long non-coding RNA, 1483 nt
Filed under: Zostera marina
Lineage: Eukaryota; Viridiplantae; Streptophyta; Magnoliopsida; Alismatales; Zosteraceae
Description: long non-coding RNA (ZMAR_LNC003245)
Source: RNAcentral